GAGGGAAAGGUGAAAAGUACCCCUGUUAGGGGAGUGAAAUAGUUACUGAAACCGUAUGCUUACAAACAGUCGGAGCCGGUAUAUCCGGUGACGGCGUGCCUAUUGAAGAAUGACCCAGUGAGUUCGUUGUGUGUGGCAAGGUUAACCAUGUUUAUUGGGGAGCCGAAGCGAAAGCGAGUCUGAAUAGGGCGAUUUGAGUCACAUGCACGAGACCCGAAACCAGGUGAUCCAGCCAUGGGCAGGGCGAAAUCAUGAGAAAUCAUGACGGAGGCCCGAACUCUUUAAUGUUACAAAAUUAUGAGAUGACCCGUGGUUAGCGGUAACAUGCCAAACGAACUUGGUAAUAGCUGGUUCUCCCCGAAAUAGUUUUAGGACUAGCGUUGCAAUUUAAUAUAUGGGGGUAGAGCACUGAUUGGAUUUGGGGCUCGAAAGAGUACCCAUUCCAGUUAAACUCCGAAUACCGUAUUGUAUAUUGCAGCAGUUAGAGUCAGGGAUCUAAGUUCCUGUGCUCUAGAGGGAAACAGCCCAGAUCGUCAGAUAAGGACCCCAAAUUUUACCUUAGUGGGAAAGGAAGUGAGAUUUCUCAGACAGCUAGGAGGUUGGCUUAGAGGCAGCCAUCCUUUAAAAAAUGCGUAAAAGCUUACUAGUCAAGAGAUUUUGCACUUAAAAUGUAACGGGGCUGAAGGUAAAUUCCGAAGCUGCGAAUUUAUACAUACUUCGGUAUGUAUGGGUGGUAGGGGAGCGUUCUAUACAUGACCGACUUAGCAGUCGGUAAUUAGCUGUGAAGGUGGCCCGUAAGGAGCUGCUGGAGCGUAUAGAAGUGAGAAUGCUGGGAUGAGUAACGUAAAGCAGGUGAAAACCCUGCUCGCUGAAUGUCUAAGGUUUCCAUGGCUAUGUCAGUCAACCAUGGGUUAGUCGGUCCUAAGUCGAGGCUGAAAAGCGUAGACGAUGGCUAACAGGUUAAUAUUCCUGUACUACUAACAUUUGAAAUGGAGUGAGAGGAUUGAAUACGCAAGCCCCUAAUUGGUUUGGGGUGUAAGCAACAAGAGAGCUCUUUUAGGAAAAUCCGGAAGAGUGUUUCUACUUCGGUGGAUGAACACGAGUUGCAAUGCAAAGGUGACCUUCGGGAAACCGAUUUGUACUAUUUAAUUCUCCAGGAAAAUCUUCUAUCAAUAAUUACUUCGGUAAUUAUAAAAAUGUUUGUAACCGUACUGCAAACCGACACUGGUGGACAAGUGUAAAUGCACUAAAGCGUACGAGUGAUACAUUGUUAAGGAAUUCGGCAAAUUGACCCCGUAAGUUCGCAAUAAGGGGGACUCUCCAUCAUAAGUUUAAUUAUUUGUGGUGAUGAGAGUGGCACAGAAUAGGGAAGAACGACUAGUUACCAAAACUACAGGCGCUUGCAAACUCGUAAGAGGAUGUAUAAGUGCUGACACCUGCCCAAUGCCAGAAGGUUAAGGUGAUUCAUUAGCUCUCUGCUGGGUGCACUUCGGUGCCCUAGUGGUUGCGAAGUGGAAAGCCGAAGCCCUGGUCAAUGGCGGCUGUAACUAUAACGGUCCUAAGGUAGCGUAAUACCUCGUCACUUAAUUAGUGAAUUGCAUGAAAGGCGUAACGAUCCUUCCACUGUCUCGACAACGUGCUCGGUGAAAUUGAAAUGGCUGUGAAGAUGCGGCCUACCUAUACCAGGACAAAAAGACCCCGUGGAGCUUUACUUCAGCUUUGCAUUGAGAUAAGGUCUCGGAUGUAUAGAAUAUGUGGGAGACUAUGAAGCAGUUUCGUCAGGAAUUGUGGAGUCGACAGUGUAAUACCACUCUUUUGGUAUUUUAUUUCUAACAGUAUCCAUUAUCUGGAUUCUAGACAGUGCAUGGUAGGAAGUUUGACUGGGGCGGUUGCUUGCUAAAGAGUACCGCAAGCGCACAAAGGUCUCC
Molecule: ribosomal RNA, 1928 nt
Filed under: activated sludge metagenome
Description: bacterial LSU rRNA
Rfam family: Bacterial large subunit ribosomal RNA
Source: RNAcentral